RNAcentral lists this ribosomal RNA (497 nucleotides) under uncultured bacterium. RNAcentral describes it as "partial 16S ribosomal RNA". It matches the Rfam family "Bacterial small subunit ribosomal RNA", at positions 28 to 507 of the family's 1533-position model. The record is from RNAcentral.
GAUGAACGCUGGCGGCGUGCCUAAUACAUGCAAGUCGAGCGAACAGACGAGGAGCUUGCUCCUCUGACGUUAGCGGCGGACGGGUGAGUAACACGUGGAUAACCUACCUAUAAGACUGGGAUAACUUCGGGAAACCGGAGCUAAUACCGGAUAAUAUAUUGAACCGCAUGGUUCAAUAGUGAAAGACGGUUUUGCUGUCACUUAUAGAUGGAUCCGCGCCGCAUUAGCUAGUUGGUAAGGUAACGGCUUACCAAGGCAACGAUGCGUAGCCGACCUGAGAGAGGGGUCGGCCACACUGGAGCUGAAACACGGUCAAGAGUCCUACGGGAGGCACCAGUAGGGAAUCUUACGCAAUGGGCGAAAGCAUGACGGAGCAACGCCGCGUGAGUGAUGAAGGUCUUCGGAUCGUAAAACUCUGUUAUUAGGGAAGAACAAAUGUGUAAGUAACUAUGCACGUCUUGACGGUACCUAAUCAGAAAGCCACGGCUAACUACGUG